RNAcentral lists this ribosomal RNA (430 nucleotides) under uncultured bacterium. RNAcentral describes it as "partial 16S ribosomal RNA". It matches the Rfam family "Bacterial small subunit ribosomal RNA", at positions 354 to 796 of the family's 1533-position model. The record is from RNAcentral.
GUGGGGAAUAUUGCACAAUGGGCGCAAGCCUGAUGCAGCAACGCCGCGUGAGGGAUGACGGCCUUCGGGUUGUAAACCUCUUUUAGUAGGGAAGAAGCGUAAGUGACGGUACCUGCAGAAAAAGCACCGGCUAACUACGUGCCAGCAGCCGCGGUAAUACGUAGGGUGCAAGCGUUGUCCGGAAUUAUUGGGCGUAAAGAGCUCGUAGGCGGCUUGUCGCGUCUGCCGUGAAAACCCAGGGCUCAACUCUGGGCGUGCGGUGGGUACGGGCAGGCUAGAGUGCGGUAGGGGAGAUUGGAAUUCCUGGUGUAGCGGUGGAAUGCGCAGAUAUCAGGAGGAACACCGAUGGCGAAGGCAGAUCUCUGGGCCGUAACUGACGCUGAGGAGCGAAAGCAUGGGGAGCGAACAGGAUUAGAAACCCCUGUAGUCC